AUUGAACGCUGGCGGCAGGCCUAACACAUGCAAGUCGGACGGUAGCACAGAGGAGCUUGCUCCUUGGGUGACGAGUGGCGGACGGGUGAGUAAUGUCUGGGGAUCUGCCCGAUAGAGGGGGAUAACCACUGGAAACGGUGGCUAAUACCGCAUAACGUCGCAAGACCAAAGAGGGGGACCUUCGGGCCUCUCACUAUCGGAUGAACCCAGAUGGGAUUAGCUAGUAGGCGGGGUAAUGGCCCACCUAGGCGACGAUCCCUAGCUGGUCUGGAAGGAUAACCGGCCACACUGGAACUGAGACACGGUCCAGACUCCUACGGGAGGCAGCAGUGGGGAAUAUUGCACAAUGGGCGCAAGCCUGAUGCAGCCAUGCCGCGUGUAUGAAGAAGGCCUUCGGGUUGUAAAGUACUUUCAGCGGGGAGGAAGGCGGUGCGGUUAAUAACCGCGCCGAUUGACGUUACCCGCAGAAGAAGCACCGGCUAACUCCGUGCCAGCCGCCGCCGUAA
Molecule: ribosomal RNA, 506 nt
Filed under: uncultured bacterium
Lineage: Bacteria
Description: partial 16S ribosomal RNA
Rfam family: Bacterial small subunit ribosomal RNA
Source: RNAcentral